Molecule: ribosomal RNA, 253 nt
Filed under: uncultured bacterium
Lineage: Bacteria
Description: partial 16S ribosomal RNA
Rfam family: Bacterial small subunit ribosomal RNA
Source: RNAcentral
UACAGAGGGUGCGAGCGUUAAUCGGAAUUACUGGGCGUAAAGCGUGCGUAGACGGUUAUUUAAGUCGGGUGUGAAAGCCCCGGGCUCAACCUGGGAAUUGCAUUCGAGACUGAAUAGCUAGGGUACGGUAGAGGGAAGUGGAAUUUCCGGUGUAGCGGUGAAAUGCGUAGAUAUCGGGAGGAACACCAGUGGCGAAGGCGGCGAUCUGGGUCGAUACUGACGCUGAGGUGCGAAAGCGUGGGGAGCAAACAGG